GACCGGGAUAAAUUACAAAGACUGACUCAGAAACUUAAGAAUUAUUCUUAGUUUCGAAAAGCUAACUCAUAUUUUAGACCAGGAUGCACUUGUGUUACCAGCUCAUCCAUCCCCUGAUUAAUGAACCACACUUGAGAAGUGGAUGGAUGAGGAUAAUAAGGCGAAAUACUACAUUCUAGCAUCCAUGUCUAAUGAUCUUUAGCGAUCGCAUGAAAACAUGAGGACUGCCAAAGAGAUGCUGACUCACCUGCAAGAGUUGUAUGGUGAGUAAAAUUAUACAGCUUAUUUUGAAGUCUCCCGAAGACUAUUC
Molecule: long non-coding RNA, 310 nt
Filed under: Elaeis guineensis (African oil palm)
Lineage: Eukaryota; Viridiplantae; Streptophyta; Magnoliopsida; Arecales; Arecaceae
Description: long non-coding RNA (EGUI_LNC048203)
Source: RNAcentral